AAUCCAUAGGUUAAUGAGGCGAACCGGGGGAACUGAAACAUCUAAGUACCCCGAGGAAAAGAAAUCAACCGAGAUUCCCCCAGUAGCGGCGAGCGAACGGGGAGGAGCCCAGAGCCUGAAUCAGCAUGUGUGUUAGUGGAAGCGUCUGGAAAGGCGCGCGAUACAGGGUGACAGCCCCGUACACAAAAGCGCAUGUGCUGUGAGCUCGAUGAGUAGGGCGGGACACGUGGUAUCCUGUCUGAAUAUGGGGGGACCAUCCUCCA
RNAcentral lists this ribosomal RNA (263 nucleotides) under Salmonella enterica subsp. enterica serovar Heidelberg. RNAcentral describes it as "partial 23S ribosomal RNA". It matches the Rfam family "Bacterial large subunit ribosomal RNA", at positions 161 to 462 of the family's 2925-position model. Lineage: Bacteria; Pseudomonadati; Pseudomonadota; Gammaproteobacteria; Enterobacterales; Enterobacteriaceae. The record is from RNAcentral. RNAcentral also lists the same sequence under 2 other names.